This is a long non-coding RNA of Daphnia pulicaria, 988 nucleotides long. RefSeq lists it as uncharacterized. The transcript is spliced from 5 exons. The record is from RefSeq and is a predicted model, not a curated record. NCBI's taxonomy places the organism in Eukaryota, Metazoa, Arthropoda, Branchiopoda, Diplostraca, Daphniidae.
GAAUACUGAAUUGAACUUCGUUUAUCCUUAUGCUGUCAAAAGCCUGAAACUCAUAUUUGAAGCCUACAUACAGUGGAAUUAGACAAACGUUCUUGGGCAUGGAUGAUGGAUCUUUUCUGAAUCUUGCAAGUGUAACCUGUGUCAGCAUGUUUGUCGAGUGUACAACUGUUUCUACAGCCGCUCAGAAGGCAACCCAGCUGAGAGAUAGUUCCAGUUUCAGUGAAUGUACAAUUGUACAUGAAGAGUGUGAAGUGUAUUUAGUACAUUUCCAGAUCUGCUUGAUGAAAGUCAAAUGUCUUACUGAAUUCGUCACCCAAAUGAUAAAGAACUAUUUGUGACGUCCCAUGAGAUCGCGAGUCGGCCGCCAGUUUCAAUCUACAACGCAGUUUCUUUAUGGAAUCGUGAGUCCUGAGCCAACGCUAGCUUUUGUCCAUGACAGAAGAGGAACUUCUACCAACGUUCGGGUCCUUAUCUUCACCACGUACGCUGCUUCUUGUGCUUCAUUGGCGAAUUAAAUCACUUCAGUGUUCGCUUCCGCCCGCUGUGACACACCUGUCAUCAUUCACCACGGGAUUAUGCCGAGGUAAUGCAGAGGAGACGUCGAAAAGAUGGAUUUUCUCAUCUUUAACAGUCGUCAACGGUCUCCGUCGGACGUUGCCCCCUGCUUCUGGUGCAAACGAAACUCGGUGGAAUCGCGACCGACACCGAGACUCGUCACCAACGUGGAUCAUCGUAUUGUUGGUAUUAUUGCGUUUGUGUUAGUUAACCCGUUGGCUGCCACACCUUUGUUCUCCACUGCACGGGCCGCGCUGUUCGGUCUCGUGGUUUAAAAGCUGCGUGGUCGGGGAGUCGCCAAGCCCAAACUUUGCCGCAAGGCAAGCCUGUUAAAAGGCAAUGCACCUUAGUCCCCCCCCCCCCCUUUGUCAGCACGGACUUGUCAGCAAUGGCAAGUCCCACUUGGUCAUGGAUCCUUCAGACGUGGCACGUA